RNAcentral lists this ribosomal RNA (518 nucleotides) under uncultured bacterium. RNAcentral describes it as "bacterial SSU rRNA". It matches the Rfam family "Bacterial small subunit ribosomal RNA", at positions 338 to 874 of the family's 1533-position model. The record is from RNAcentral.
CCUACGGGAGGCAGCAGUGGGGAAUCUUAGACAAUGGGCGCAAGCCUGAUCUAGCCAUGCCGCGUGAGUGACGAAGGCCUUAGGGUCGUAAAGCUCUUUCGCUGGGGAAGAUAAUGACUGUACCCAGUAAAGAAGUCCCGGCUAACUCCGUGCCAGCAGCCGCGGUAAUACGGAGGGGACUAGCGUUGUUCGGAAUUACUGGGCGUAAAGCGCGCGUAGGCGGAUUAGCCAGUCAGAGGUGAAAUCCCAGGGCUCAACCCUGGAACUGCCUUUGAUACUGCUAGUCUUGAGUUCGAGAGAGGUGAGUGGAAUUGCGAGUGUAGAGGUGAAAUUCGUAGAUAUUCGCAGGAACACCAGUGGCGAAGGCGGCUCACUGGCUCGAUACUGACGCUGAGGUGCGAAAGUGUGGGGAGCAAACAGGAUUAGAUACCCUGGUAGUCCACACCGUAAACGAUGAAUGCCAGACGUCGGCAAGCAUGCUUGUCGGUGUCACACCUAACGGAUUAAGCAUUCCGCCU